AGUGAACGCUGGCGGUAGGCCUAACACAUGCAAGUCGAACGGCGGCACAGUAAGAGCUUGCUCUUACGGGUGGCGAGUGGCGGACGGGUGAGGAAUACAUCGGAAUCUACUUUUUCGUGGGGGAUAACGUAGGGAAACUUACGCUAAUACCGCAUACGACCUACGGGUGAAAGCAGGGGAUCUUCGGACCUUGCGCGAUUGAAUGAGCCGAUGUCGGAUUAGCUAGUUGGCGGGGUAAAGGCCCACCAAGGCGACGAUCCGUAGCUGGUCUGAGAGGAUGAUCAGCCACACUGGAACUGAGACACGGUCCAGACUCCUACGGGAGGCAGCAGUGGGGAAUAUUGGACAAUGGGCGCAAGCCUGAUCCAGCCAUACCGCGUGAGUGAAGAAGGCCUUCGGGUUGUAAAACCCUUUUGUUGGGAAAGAAAAGCAGCAGGUUAAUACCCCGCUGUUCUGACGGUACCCAAAGAAUAAGCACCGGCUAACUUCGUG
This 492-nucleotide ribosomal RNA is filed under the name uncultured bacterium. RNAcentral's name for it is "partial 16S ribosomal RNA". It matches the Rfam family "Bacterial small subunit ribosomal RNA", at positions 29 to 507 of the family's 1533-position model. The record is from RNAcentral.